Molecule: transfer RNA, 91 nt
Filed under: Fusobacterium sp. DD1
Lineage: Bacteria; Fusobacteriati; Fusobacteriota; Fusobacteriia; Fusobacteriales; Fusobacteriaceae
Also listed under: 16 other names
Description: tRNA-Leu
Rfam family: tRNA
About the family: Transfer RNA (tRNA) molecules are approximately 80 nucleotides in length. Their secondary structure includes four short double-helical elements and three loops (D, anti-codon, and T loops).
Source: RNAcentral
GCCUGGAUGGCGGAAUUGGUAGACGCGGAAGACUCAGGAUCUUCUGGUGGAUUAAAACACCUUUGGGGUUCAAAUCCCCUUUCAGGCACCA